UACGUAGGCAGCGAGCGUUGUUCGGAAUUACUGGGCGUAAAGCGUGCGUAGGUGGUUCGUUAAGUCUGUCGUGAAAGCCCCGGGCUCAACCUGGGAAUGGCGAUGGAUACUGGCGGGCUAGAGUGCGGUAGAGGAGAGUGGAAUUCCCGGUGUAGCAGUGAAAUGCGUAGAGAUCGGGAGGAACAUCAGUUGCGAAGGCGGCUCUCUGGACCAGCACUGACACUGAGGCACGAAAGCGUGGGGAGCAAACAGG
This 253-nucleotide ribosomal RNA is filed under the name uncultured bacterium. Its description in RNAcentral is "partial 16S ribosomal RNA". It matches the Rfam family "Bacterial small subunit ribosomal RNA", at positions 524 to 776 of the family's 1533-position model. The record is from RNAcentral.